This 79-nucleotide transfer RNA is filed under the name Perca flavescens (yellow perch). RNAcentral's name for it is "tRNA-Met". The record is from RNAcentral. Lineage: Eukaryota; Metazoa; Chordata; Actinopteri; Perciformes; Percidae.
ACCGGGUUGGCUCAGUGGGUAGAGCAGGCGCACAUAUAUGCCUCGACGCAUAGGUCCAGGGUUCGAAUCCGACCUGUGA